Molecule: unclassified non-coding RNA, 287 nt
Filed under: uncultured Hygrophorus
Lineage: Eukaryota; Fungi; Basidiomycota; Agaricomycetes; Agaricales; Hygrophoraceae
Description: sequence contains ITS2
Rfam family: 5.8S ribosomal RNA (bases 1-52)
Source: RNAcentral
AACGCACCUUGCGCUCCUUGGUAUUCCGAGGAGCAUGCCUGUUUGAGUGUCAUUAAAUUGUCAAGUCCUUUUUAUUUAGAAAAAAUGGCUUGGAUUUUUUUUUGGAGUGUUUGCUGGCUUUUUAACAAAGUUGGCUUCUCUUAAAUGUAUUAUAUAACCUUUUGUGGAUAGAAAAGGGCUUUGGUUUUGAUAACUAAAUAAUCUUAUGUCAUUGCCCUUUUUUUUAUGAAGCAAAUGCCACUUUGAUAUUUGACCUCAAAUCAGGUAGGACUACCCGCUGAACUUAA